Molecule: long non-coding RNA, 459 nt
Organism: Homo sapiens (human)
Lineage: Eukaryota; Metazoa; Chordata; Mammalia; Primates; Hominidae
Product: long intergenic non-protein coding RNA 1233
Source: Ensembl
UUCCUGGGUCCCCCUCACGCUCUGGGUCAGAGUUCCUUUACAGGCGGACCUGAGAGGCAACUCACCGACUCCUGCCCUGGACCCUCCUGCGCCACUGAACCCCCUGACCUGGGAGCCUCGGAACCUAGGGCUCAGGAGAGCGGCCGUGGGUCCCAUCAGGCUUUCCCCUCGGAUCCUCUGCAGAUGAACCAGGACUUAUCCGAAGGUACCAAGUGAACUUCUAGGAAAAGUCCAAUUCUCAGAUGCUGGAUGUCUUCCAAAAAUGAAGCAAAUUAGUAACUUAGUAGCUGAGUCAACUAAUCCUGUUAGAUGGUCAACACUGGUUUUUUUAUUUUAAUAUUUUUAAGUGGCAACUCUAGUGUGUGAGAAAAUUAAUGUGACAGCUGAAUUUGUAGAAAGCUGCUUUGACUCUCUUGGGCCCCUUCAUAAGCCCUGGAACUAAAUAAAAGUCUAGUGAAU